CCUACGGGCGGCAGCAGUGAGGAAUAUUGGUCAAUGGGCUUACGCCUGAACCAGCCAAGUCGCGUGAGGGAAGACUGCCCUAUGGGUUGUAAACCUCUUUUGUCAGGGAGCAACGCCGGCUACGUGUAGCCGGACUGAGAGUACCUGAAGAAAAAGCAUCGGCUAACUCCGUGCCAGCAGCCGCGGUAAUACGGAGGAUGCGAGCGUUAUCCGGAUUGAUUGGGGUUAAAGGGUGCGUAGGCGGAAUGCCAAGUCAGCGGUAAAAUCGCGGGGCUCAACCUCGCUCCGCCGUUGAAACUGGCGUUCUUGAGUGGGCGAGAAGUAUGCGGAAUGCGUGGUGUAGCGGUGAAAUGCAUAGAUAUCACGCAGAACUCCGAUUGCGAAGGCAGCAUACCGGCGCCCAACUGACGCUGAAGCACGAAAGCGUGGGUAUCGAACAGGAUUAGAUACCCUAGUAGUC
Molecule: ribosomal RNA, 460 nt
Filed under: uncultured bacterium
Lineage: Bacteria
Description: partial 16S ribosomal RNA
Rfam family: Bacterial small subunit ribosomal RNA
Source: RNAcentral